This 230-nucleotide ribosomal RNA is filed under the name uncultured bacterium. RNAcentral describes it as "partial 16S ribosomal RNA". It matches the Rfam family "Bacterial small subunit ribosomal RNA", at positions 563 to 791 of the family's 1533-position model. The record is from RNAcentral.
AAGCGUGCGUAGGCGGCUUUUUAAGUUCGGAUGUGAAAUCCCCGAGCUUAACUUGGGAAUUGCAUUCGAUACUGGGAAGCUAGAGUAUGGGAGAGGAUGGUAGAAUUCCAGGUGUAGCGGUGAAAUGCGUAGAGAUCUGGAGGAAUACCGAUGGCGAAGGCAGCCAUCUGGCCUAAUACUGACGCUGAGGUACGAAAGCAUGGGGAGCAAACAGGAUUAGAUACCCCUGU